UGUAGUAAAGUGAAAAUAUAAAUGUUUGUAAUAAUAGAAAUCUAACAACAGAGAAAUAUCAAUUUAUACGGUAAAAAUAGUACAAGCAAUACAUAUUUCAAGCACUUUUCGAGAUUGAGACACAAUGAUUCCACAAGUCUGCACUCUUCUUCAAGUAUUCUGUUUCGUGGGCAAUUAACAUGGGUUUAUCUGCAAUAUAUUUAAUAAGCGUAUCGUGGCACACUUUUCCUUCUUUGACGAGAUCGUUGCAACAAGGAUCAGAGAUGGUUCCAUUUUCAAAGACAACACCGAUUAUA
Molecule: long non-coding RNA, 296 nt
Filed under: Arabidopsis lyrata
Lineage: Eukaryota; Viridiplantae; Streptophyta; Magnoliopsida; Brassicales; Brassicaceae
Description: long non-coding RNA (ALYR_LNC000067)
Source: RNAcentral